This 515-nucleotide ribosomal RNA is filed under the name uncultured bacterium. RNAcentral describes it as "bacterial SSU rRNA". It matches the Rfam family "Bacterial small subunit ribosomal RNA", at positions 735 to 1253 of the family's 1533-position model. The record is from RNAcentral.
AAAGACUGACGCUCAUGCACGAAAGCGUGGGGACCAAACAGGAUUAGAUACCCUGGUAGUCCACGCUGUAAACGAUGAUCACUCGUUGUUGGCGAUAUACUGUCAGCGACUGAGCGAAAGCAUUAAGUGAUCCACCUGGGGAGUACGGCGGCAACGUUGAAACUCAAAGGAAUUGACGGAGGCCCGCACAAGCGGAGGAGCAUGUGGUUUAAUUCGAUGAUACGCGAGGAACCUUACCUGGGCUUAAAUGCAGGACGACGUUUCGUGAAAGCGGAAUUUCCUUCGGGACGUCUUGCAAGGUGCUGCAUGGUUGUCGUCAGCUCGUGCCGUGAGGUGUCGGGUUAAGUCCCAUAACGAGCGCAACCCCUAUUCUUAGUUGCCAUCAGGUCAUGCUGGGAACUCUAAGAAAACUGCCUACGCAAGUAGUGAGGAAGGUGGGGAUGACGUCAAAUCAGCACGGCCCUUAUGUCCAGGGCGACACACGUGCUACAAUGGCCAGUACAGAGGGUUGCAAA